Long non-coding RNA from Anolis carolinensis (green anole), 2180 nucleotides. RefSeq lists it as uncharacterized. The transcript is spliced from 2 exons. NCBI's taxonomy places the organism in Eukaryota, Metazoa, Chordata, Lepidosauria, Squamata, Anolidae. The record is from RefSeq and is a predicted model, not a curated record.
GUUUUUAAAAUUUCAUUGUGAAAGGUCAAACUUAUCAGCCAGUUUCUAAACAUCCUAAAUCACUGCAGUUCUGGUUUUUAUUUGGAUGGGAUCCCACCACUGAAUAUCAAAUGCUGUAGACAAGGACUUUAAAAACUUUUUCUACUUGUGACUCCUUUCUGCCUAAGAAAUUUUCCAUGACUCCAGGUAUAUAGCUAUAUAAAAUAGAUAUAAAAUCAAGCAUUUAAUGAUAAUGAAUCAACAUUUGAAAGGCUUGUUAAACAGGCUGAUUUUUCUUUUUGUGGAGUACAGCUGAAGCAUUUUCUGCAGAGUGAACACUGUUUGUUGUUGCUGAUUUCUGUGAUUAGGUGGCUUUCAGAAGCCUUUUACUGUUGCCAAAUUUUGUGACCCCCAACAUUGAGCUAAGGGAACCCUAUUUGGGGUCAGGACCCUUGGUUUAAGAAGCAGUGCCAUAGACUAUAUUUCAAAGAAGGCAAUGACAAAACCAUCUCUGAGUAUCUCUUGCCUUAUGGAGCAGCCAUAAGUUGACAUGCAGUUUGAAGGCAUAUAUGUGCACACACAUAAUUCCAUUAUCAACAGACAGCAUGGCUCCAAGCAGGUCUCAGGUUGGAGAAGGCUACCACAUGAGUGUGCCAGUCCCUUUUCCUCUAGCUAGCCUCAGCUCAGCAUGGUCAGUGGAGGCCUGAGAACGCAAGACACAGAUUUUCCUAUCACUGGCUGGCUCACUCUGUUUACCUUGCUCAGCCCACGUGCCACUCCAUUACUUUGCUGGGUGCAUCUGUUCGUUUCUCAAAAGAAGAAGGAAUCCUCAUCCCCUUCAUUGGCUAAGAGGGUGUGGGAAGCCCAACUAUACAGGGUGUGCCAUGUCUCAGUGGAGGAAGGAGUGUCCAUCUCCUUUCGUGGCCAAGAAAGGGACCGGAAGCCCAGCUACAUGGUGUGUCCCUGUCUUGGCAAAGAAAGGAAUAUUUGUACCCUUUCUUGACUGAGGGAAGAGUAGCAUGGCCCCUUUCUUAGUGGAGGAAGAAUUCUCUGUCUCCUUCCUCAGCUGAGAGAGUAACACGAAGCCUGGCUGUGCGGAGCAUGCUCCUGUCUCAGCGGAAGAAGGAGACAGAAGGGGAACAUGAAGAUUGCAUAUACUGCAGCUGGGGCUUGCCAUAGCUGUCACUGUUGUCUAGAGCCGUUUGUCAUCCUGGUAGGAAUAAUGUUUAUUUGUAUGUUUUUUCAACUUUUGCAGGUCUCCUGUACCCCUAAACCCCACAAAAGUGAAAAAUUGGCUGUAGUUAAAAUCCAGCUGUUCCUGUGCCAUAUUUGGCCUGUUUAUCCUAUUACAAAGAUGUUUGACCGACUUGGAUAUUUAUAUAGCUUCAUCCUUUAUUAUAGCUUUCCAUACCUGAUUUUAGCUAUUUGCUCAAUAGCUAUACUGACAUGUUCUAUUAUUGCUACCUCACUUUUACCAAUUUUGUAUAUAGUUCUCAUUCCUUGUGGUUAGGAGUACAAGAUCCUUCAUGGAAGUAAAUAUCUGUGAGCAAAGGAAUUAGUUUUUUUUUAACCUGAAAGUACCUCUCUAAGAAUUUCUAGAUCCUUCCAAUGGUAAGUUUACAGAGUCAUGCUGGAAGACCUAGAAAUUCUUAGAGAGGUACUUUCAGGUUAAAAAAAAACUAAUUCCUUUGCUCACAGAUAUUUACUUCCAUGAAGGAUCUUGUACUCCUAACCACAAGGAAUGAGAACUAUAUACAAAAUUGGUAAAAGUGAGGUAGCAAUAAUAGAACAUGUCAGUAUAGCUAUUGAGCAAAUAGCUAAAAUCAGGUAUGGAAAGCUAUAAUAAAGGAUGAAGCUAUAUAAAUAUCCAAGUCGGUCAAACAUCUUUGUAAUAGGAUAAACAGGCCAAAUAUGGCACAGGAACAGCUGGAUUUUAACUACAGCCAAUUUUUCACUUUUGUGGGGUUUAGGGGUACAGGAGACCUGCAAAAGUUGAAAAAACAUACAAAUAAACAUUAUUCCUACCAGGAUGACAAACGGCUCUAGACAACAGUGACAGCUAUGGCAAGCCCCAGCUGCAGUAUAUGCAAUCUUCAUGUUCCCCUUCUGUCUCCUUCUUCCGCUGAGACAGGAGCAUGCUCCGCACAGCCAGGCUUCGUGUUACUCUCUCAGCUGAGGAAGGAGACAGAGAAUUCUUCCUC